GGGGGUAUAGCUCAGUGGUAGAGCGCUCGCUUCGCAUGUGAGAAGUCAGUUCGGUUACGCUUCGCCCG
Molecule: non-coding RNA, 68 nt
Organism: Aphelenchus avenae
Lineage: Eukaryota; Metazoa; Nematoda; Chromadorea; Rhabditida; Aphelenchidae
Source: the annotation of a GenBank genome assembly